This 75-nucleotide transfer RNA is filed under the name Elusimicrobium minutum Pei191. It matches the Rfam family "tRNA". From Rfam's summary of the family: Transfer RNA (tRNA) molecules are approximately 80 nucleotides in length. Their secondary structure includes four short double-helical elements and three loops (D, anti-codon, and T loops). Further hydrogen bonds mediate the characteristic L-shaped molecular structure. tRNAs have two regions of fundamental functional importance: the anti-codon, which is responsible for specific mRNA codon recognition, and the 3' end, to which the tRNAs corresponding amino acid is attached (by aminoacyl-tRNA synthetases). tRNAs cope with the degeneracy of the genetic code in two manners: having more than one tRNA (with a specific anti-codon) for a particular amino acid; and 'wobble' base-pairing, i.e. permitting non-standard base-pairing at the 3rd anti-codon position. The record is from Rfam by way of RNAcentral. Lineage: Bacteria; Pseudomonadati; Elusimicrobiota; Elusimicrobia; Elusimicrobiales; Elusimicrobiaceae.
GGAGUCGUGGUGUAGCCCGGUCAACACGCCCGCCUGUCACGCGGGAGAUCGCGGGUUCAAAUCCCGUCGACUCCG